RNAcentral lists this small RNA (548 nucleotides) under Lodderomyces parapsilosis. RNAcentral's name for it is "eukaryotic LSU rRNA". The stretch from base 207 to 360 matches the Rfam family "5.8S ribosomal RNA". Lineage: Eukaryota; Fungi; Ascomycota; Pichiomycetes; Serinales; Debaryomycetaceae. The record is from RNAcentral.
UUGGAAGUUAAAGUCGUAACAAGGUUUCCGUAGGUGAACCUGCGGAAGGAUCAUUACAGAAUGAAAAGUGCUUAACUGCAUUUUUUCUUACACAUGUGUUUUUCUUUUUUUGAAAACUUUGCUUUGGUAGGCCUUCUAUAUGGGGCCUGCCAGAGAUUAAACUCAACCAAAUUUUAUUUAAUGUCAACCGAUUAUUUAAUAGUCAAAACUUUCAACAACGGAUCUCUUGGUUCUCGCAUCGAUGAAGAACGCAGCGAAAUGCGAUAAGUAAUAUGAAUUGCAGAUAUUCGUGAAUCAUCGAAUCUUUGAACGCACAUUGCGCCCUUUGGUAUUCCAAAGGGCAUGCCUGUUUGAGCGUCAUUUCUCCCUCAAACCCUCGGGUUUGGUGUUGAGCGAUACGCUGGGUUUGCUUGAAAGAAAGGCGGAGUAUAAACUAAUGGAUAGGUUUUUUCCACUCAUUGGUACAAACUCCAAAACUUCUUCCAAAUUCGACCUCAAAUCAGGUAGGACUACCCGCUGAACUUAAGCAUAUCAAUAGCGGGGNGGAA